This 1440-nucleotide long non-coding RNA is filed under the name Pan troglodytes (chimpanzee). Its description in RNAcentral is "lincRNA". Lineage: Eukaryota; Metazoa; Chordata; Mammalia; Primates; Hominidae. The record is from RNAcentral.
CUUUCAGUUUCACUCCAACAUGCAGGAGAAAAGGAGCAAUUGACAUGACAAGAACUGAGAUGGGGCAGUUCUGAUACAACUGACAAAGAAUUAGCAGUACAGAGCAUGAGACCCUGCAUAAAGACAAAUGGGAGAAGCCGUAGCGCAAGGUGUCAGCAGGUUUCGUCUCUUCUGAGGCCUCUCUCCUUGGCUUGCAGAUGGCCUCCUUCUCGCUGUGUCCUCACGUGGCCUUUUUUCUCCAUGUGCGUGCAUCCGUCGUGUCUCUCUUAUUCUUGGAAGAAAAACAUGUGCCUUCUGCUAACUAUCUGGUGUGUCCAGUUCUGAAUGUCAAGACCAAGUCCUGAAAAUGGGUACUGGGGAUGACUUAAGAGUAUUUGUCAAGCACCUUGUAUGUGUCAAGCUGAUGAUAGGCAUUGAUGCUACACAGGUGGUUAUAACCUGGUCCAGCAAAAUCUCUUGCUAUCUGGUAGGGACCAGGCAAAUACAAAUGGAUGAGUUAAAGUACUGCAUAAUAGAUACCUCAUUGGAACUAUGAACCAAUGACUCCAGAGAAAGAGCCACACCUGACUGCCUGUCAUCUUCUGACAGAGGAUGUCAUGUUGUAUGUGGUGUGAUCAUCUACCAAGAUCCUAGGACAAAUUAUAUGGCUCAUUGACCUGCACGGGUACCUGGAACUUCAGCUCAAACAUUUACGAUAACCAAGCAUCCAAAAGCUAUGAAAACACAGAACUGGCAGCCAAUCCAUUAAAUCACUCAAACAUCUAUUAACUAGCAAUUGUAUAAAAUUUGCUGGAUUUGAGCACUGUAAGGGUAUAGAAGGGCAAAUGAAGAUCAAUAACGGGAGAGGAAAGAGAAGAGUAAAACAGUUUGUAUCUGUUGAUGACCAGGCAUCAUGUUAAGUAUUUCAUAUAUAUUAUUUAAUUCUGAAAGGAUCUUUUUGUAAGUUAAGUUAAUUCUGAAAGGAUCUUUUUGUAAGUUAAGAAGCUGAGGUGACAUGAGUUGCUCAAGUUCACACAGACAGCAAGGGGUGAGCCAUUGCAAUGCAAAGCCCAUGUCCAAUUCCUCACUCCUUGCUACUCUAGCAAGGGUUCUGGGGGUAAGUUUUGUAAGGAGAGAAAGAGAAGAGAGAAAAUCCUUGACAGUAAGUGAAGCAAAAGCCUGGAUAUCUGAAUGGGAGGAGACACCGUUGCAGAGCCCAUCCGUCCUGAUUUUCCCAGAGGCACGGGAGCAGAGCACGUCCCCACUGCACCUAAGCACGCGGAAAGAUGCCCACAGAUUGCUGCAUUUGUAUUUUUACUGAGCCAGCAUUGAGGAAUUCCACAGACACAUAUGUUGUGUACAUACAUGGGCUAUCACUUUUUAGGUGGAUGUACGUGUUAGGAUUAUCGAAAUAAGCAUCCAUUUAAAAGAAUGAUUUGAAUUUGUACCUUUCUGUCAUCA